AACUAACACUGCUUGGGUUUUUUAUUUCAGACCACCUGCGGUUGAACCUUGUUUGACGGCUUCCAUUGCAUACUCAAUUUGAUGCAUCCUGCCCUGAGGGCUCCAAACAAUGACAUCAUUGUCAUACUGGCUGUGAAACAUGGUUCCAGUAGGGGUCUGGCUGCAGCCUCCCACAGAGGAGGGGAGAGUCCUCACAACUACCUGAGAAUUCUAAUCUUACACAUCAACCUCUGCCAAAGGGAGGAGCGGUUUGGCCAUCACAGGUCAGUGUGAUGCUUACUAAUCCUCUUAUUCUGAUUCUACAAUAGUCAAGCAAAAAUGUGUGUAUUUUAAUUACAGAAUUUUUAUCAAGG
Molecule: long non-coding RNA, 353 nt
Filed under: Vulpes vulpes (red fox)
Lineage: Eukaryota; Metazoa; Chordata; Mammalia; Carnivora; Canidae
Description: lncRNA (ENSVVUG00000020123.1)
Source: RNAcentral